GCAAGUCGAACGCUUCUUUUUCCACCGGAGCUUGCUCCACCGGAAAAAGAGGAGUGGCGAACGGGUGAGUAACACGUGGGUAACCUGCCCAUCAGAAGGGGAUAACACUUGGAAACAGGUGCUAAUACCGUAUAACAAUCAAAACCGCAUGGUUUUGAUUUGAAAGGCGCUUUCGGGUGUCGCUGAUGGAUGGACCCGCGGUGCAUUAGCUAGUUGGUGAGGUAACGGCUCACCAAGGCCACGAUGCAUAGCCGACCUGAGAGGGUGAUCGGCCACAUUGGGACUGAGACACGGCCCAAACUCCUACGGGAGGCAGCAGUAGGGAAUCUUCGGCAAUGGACGAAAGUCUGACCGAGCAACGCCGCGUGAGUGAAGAAGGUUUUCGGAUCGUAAAACUCUGUUGUUAGAGAAGAACAAGGAUGAGAGUAACUGUUCAUCCCUUGACGGUAUCUAACCAGAAAGCCACGGCUAACUACGUGCCAGCAGCCGCGGUAAUACGUAGGUGGCAAGCGUUGUCCGGAUUUAUUGGGCGUAAAGCGAGCGCAGGCGGUUUCUUAAGUCUGAUGUGAAAGCCCCCGGCUCAACCGGGGAGGGUCAUUGGAAACUGGGAGACUUGAGUGCAGAAGAGGAGAGUGGAAUUCCAUGUGUAGCGGUGAAAUGCGUAGAUAUAUGGAGGAACACCAGUGGCGAAGGCGGCUCUCUGGUCUGUAACUGACGCUGAGGCUCGAAAGCGUGGGGAGCAAACAGGAUUAGAUACCCUGGUAGUCCACGCCGUAAACGAUGAGUGCUAAGUGUUGGAGGGUUUCCGCCCUUCAGUGCUGCAGCUAACGCAUUAAGCACUCCGCCUGGGGAGUACGACCGCAAGGUUGAAACUCAAAGGAAUUGACGGGGGCCCGCACAAGCGGUGGAGCAUGUGGU
RNAcentral lists this ribosomal RNA (918 nucleotides) under Enterococcus faecium. RNAcentral describes it as "bacterial SSU rRNA". It matches the Rfam family "Bacterial small subunit ribosomal RNA", at positions 57 to 945 of the family's 1533-position model. The record is from RNAcentral. Lineage: Bacteria; Bacillati; Bacillota; Bacilli; Lactobacillales; Enterococcaceae.